Molecule: ribosomal RNA, 1048 nt
Filed under: uncultured soil eukaryote
Lineage: Eukaryota
Description: SSU rRNA
Rfam family: Eukaryotic small subunit ribosomal RNA
Source: RNAcentral
CCUGCCAGUAAUCAUAUGCUUGUCUUAAAGAUUAAGCCAUGCAUGUCUAAGUAUAAGCAAUUAUAUAGCAAGACUGCGGAUGGCUCAUUAAAUCAGUUAUAAUUUCAUUGGUCUUUCCUUUUAUUUGGAUAACUGUAGUAAUUCUAGAGCUAAUACAUGCAAGCGCCGCUUCGGCGGCGGCAUUUGCGGGAUACGAAACUGGCCGGGAAACCGAAACAGUUGAGCCACUGCAACUUUAGUUUUACUAUUGCGGAUCGCAUGACUUUAUGUCGGCGACAGACCUUUCAAAUUUCUGCCCUAUCAGCUUUCGAUGAAGAUGUAGUGAAUCUUCAUGGCUACAACGGGUAACGGAGAACUAGGGUUCGGUUCCGGAGAGGGAGCCUGAGAGAUGGCUACCACUUCCAAGGAAGGCAGCAGGCGCGCAAAUUACCCAAUAGCGACACGCUGAGGUAGUGACAAUAAAUAACAAUACGGGUGUCACAUUGGCAUUCGUAAUUGGAAUGAGAACAAUUUAAAUCCCUUAACGAGGAACCAUUGGAGGACAAGUCUGGUGCCAGCACCCGCGGUAAUUCCAGCUCCAAUAGCGUAUAUUAAAGUUGUUGCAGUUAAAACGCUCGUAGUCGAAUCUCGAAGCCGGCCAAAUCGGUCCAUCCGGGAAGGAUGGUACUGUUUGCUCAGCUUCCAAUCUCGUCCCUCUCUGCUGUUCUUAACUGGAUGGCGGCUGGGGACGAGGAAUUUACUUUGAAAAAAUUAGAGUGUUCAAGGCAGGCGUUACCCGCCCUGAAUAGCGCAUCUUGGGAUAAUGGAAUAGGGCGGCAGCCCUAUUUCGUUGGUUUAAAGCGCUGUCGCAAUGAUUAAUAGAAAUAGUCGGGGCUAUUCAUAUUUAGUCGUCAGAGGUGAAAUUCUUGGAUUGACGAAAGAUGAACUGCAGCGAAAGCGUUUAGCAUGGACGUUUUCAUUGAUCAAGAACGAAAGUCGGGGGAUCGAAGACGAUCAGAUACCGUCGUAGUCUCGACUGUAAACUUUGCCGACCAAGGAUUGAACGAUG